Small nuclear RNA from Cherax quadricarinatus, 106 nucleotides. Lineage: Eukaryota; Metazoa; Arthropoda; Malacostraca; Decapoda; Parastacidae. The record is from RefSeq and is a predicted model, not a curated record.
AUUUGCUUCGGCAUUACGUGUUACUAAAAUUGGAACGAUACAGAGGAGAUUAGCAUGGCCCCUCCGCAAGGAUGACGAGAUAAGAUAAGAUUUCGUUCGGAUUUUU